Molecule: ribosomal RNA, 305 nt
Filed under: uncultured bacterium
Lineage: Bacteria
Description: bacterial SSU rRNA
Rfam family: Bacterial small subunit ribosomal RNA
Source: RNAcentral
GCCUACGGGGGGCAGCAGUAGGGAAUCUUCCACAAUGGGCGAAAGCCUGAUGGAGCAACGCCGCGUGGGUGAAGAAGGUCUUCGGAUCGUAAAACCCUGUUGUUAGAGAAGAAAGUGCGUGAGAGUAACUGUUCACGUUUCGACGGUAUCUAACCAGAAAGCCACGGCUAACUACGCGCCAGCAGCCGCGGUAAUACGUAGGUGGCAAGCGUUAUCCGGAUUUAUUGGGCGUAAAGGGAACGCAGGCGGUCUUUUAAGUCUGAUGUGAAAGCCUUCGGCUUAACCGGAGUAGUGCAUUGGAAACU